RNAcentral lists this ribosomal RNA (442 nucleotides) under uncultured bacterium. RNAcentral describes it as "partial 16S ribosomal RNA". It matches the Rfam family "Bacterial small subunit ribosomal RNA", at positions 338 to 795 of the family's 1533-position model. The record is from RNAcentral.
CCUACGGGAGGCAGCAGUGGGGAAUAUUGGGUAAUGGGCGAAAGCCUGACCCAGCAACGCCGCGUGAAGGAAGAAGGCUUUCGGGUUGUAAACUUCUUUUGACAGGGAAGAGCAGAAGACGGUACCUGUCGAAUAAGCCACGGCUAACUACGUGCCAGCAGCCGCGGUAAUACGUAGGGGGCUAGCGUUGUCCGGAAUUACUGGGCGUAAAGGGAGUGUAGACGGCUUGUCAAGUUAAGUGUGAAAGCCUGCGGCUUAACCGCAGAAUUGCACUUAAAACUGACUCGCUUGAGUGCAGGAGAGGUGAGUGGAAUUCCUAGUGUAGCGGUGGAAUGCGUAGAUAUUAGGAGGAACACCAGAGGCGAAGGCGGAUCACUGGACUGUAACUGACGGUGAGGCGCGAAAGCGUGGGGAGCAAACAGGAUUAGAUACCCGAGUAGUC